CAGCCGCCGCGGGAAUACGGAGGGUGCGAGCGUUAAUCGGAAUUACUGGGCGUAAAGCGUACGCAGGCGGUUUGUUAAGUCAGAUGUGAAAUCCCCGGGCUUAACCCGGGAACUGCAUUUGAAACUGGCAGGCUAGAGUCUCGUAGAGGGGGGUAGAAUUCCAGGUGUAGCGGUGAAAUGCGUAGAGAUCGGGAGGAACAUCAGUGGCGAAGGCGGCCAUCUGGGACAACACUGACGCUGAGGCACGGAAGCGUGGGGAGCAAACAGGAUUAGAUACCCCUGUAGUCCCUGUCUCUUAUAC
Molecule: ribosomal RNA, 301 nt
Filed under: uncultured bacterium
Lineage: Bacteria
Description: partial 16S ribosomal RNA
Rfam family: Bacterial small subunit ribosomal RNA
Source: RNAcentral